UGGGGAAUAUUGCACAAUGGGCGAAAGCCUGAUGCAGCGACGCCGCGUGAAGGAUGAAGGUCUUCGGAUUGUAAACUUCUAUCAGCAGGGAAGAAAGGGCCUAUGGCCUAUGACGGUACCUGACUAAGAAGCCCCGGCUAACUACGUGCCAGCAGCCGCGGUAAUACGUAGGGGGCAAGCGUUAUCCGGAUUUACUGGGUGUAAAGGGUGCGUAGGUGGCUAUGCAAGUUUGAUGUGAAACCUUAAGGCUUAACCUUAAGCAUGCAUCAAAAACUGCAAAGCUAGAGUGCAGGAGAGGAAAGUGGAAUUCCUAGUGUAGCGGUGAAAUGCGUAGAUAUUAGGAGGAACACCAGUAGCGAAGGCGGCUUUCUGGACUGUAACUGACACUGAGGCACGAAAGCGUGGGGAGCAAACAGG
RNAcentral lists this ribosomal RNA (417 nucleotides) under uncultured bacterium. RNAcentral's name for it is "bacterial SSU rRNA". It matches the Rfam family "Bacterial small subunit ribosomal RNA", at positions 355 to 776 of the family's 1533-position model. RNAcentral also lists the same sequence under 2 other names. The record is from RNAcentral.